RNAcentral lists this ribosomal RNA (253 nucleotides) under uncultured bacterium. Its description in RNAcentral is "partial 16S ribosomal RNA". It matches the Rfam family "Bacterial small subunit ribosomal RNA", at positions 524 to 776 of the family's 1533-position model. The record is from RNAcentral.
GACAGAGGGGGCAAGCGUUGCUCGGAAUUACUGGGCGUAAAGGGCGCGUAGGCGGGAUGGCAAGUCGGUCGUGAGAUCCCUCGGCUCAACCGAGGAACGUCGAUCGAUACUGCUGUUCUUGAGGAUUGCAGAGGAGACUGGAAUUCCCGGUGUAGCGGUGAAAUGUGUAGAGAUCGGGAGGAACACCGGUGGCGAAGGCGGGUCUCUGGGCAAUUCCUGACGCUGAGGCGCGAAAGCGUGGGGAGCAAACGGG